AUUCCAGCUCCAAUAGCGUAUACUAAAGUUGUUGCAGUUAAAAAGCUCGUAGUUGAAUUUCUGGUCUCGGACAGCGGUCUGCCUCAAACGAGGUACGCACCACCUGUUCAGGUCCAUCCUCGGAGAAAACAUGCCUGUGAUUCAGUUCAUGGGUAUGGGAUCUUCGUCAUUUACUGUGAGCAAAAUAUAGUGUUCAAAGCAGGCUUAUGCCGUUGAAUACAUUAGCAUGGAAUAAUAAAAUAAGACCUUGGUCUAUUCUGUUGGUUUGUACUCCAAGGUAAUGAUUAAUAGGGAUAGUCAGGGGCACCCGUAUUCCGCCGAGAGAGGUGAAAUUCUCAGACCAGCGGAAGACGAACCACUGCGAAAGCAUUUGCCAGGGAUGUUUUCAUCA
RNAcentral lists this ribosomal RNA (391 nucleotides) under Chrysophyceae sp. RNAcentral's name for it is "partial small subunit ribosomal RNA". It matches the Rfam family "Eukaryotic small subunit ribosomal RNA", at positions 582 to 975 of the family's 1831-position model. The record is from RNAcentral. Lineage: Eukaryota; Chrysophyceae.